GCUUGAGCACGUAGGUGGGUUUGUAAGUCAGAUGUGAAAGCCUUCUGUUCGACGGAAGAAUUGCAUCUGAAACUACAAGUCUUGAGUGUAGGAGGGGAGAAUGGAACUUCUGGUGGAGCGGUGAAAUCCGUAGAUAUCAGAAGGAACGCCGGCGGCGAAAGCGAUUCUCUGGCCUAUUACCGACACUCAGUGUGCGAAAGCUAGGGGAGCAAACGGGAUUAGAUACCCCGGUAGUCCUAGCCGUAAACGAUGGGCACUAAGUAGAGGGGAUUACCGACGUUCUCUCUGCCGUAGCUAACGCAUUAAGUGCCCCGCCUGGGGAGUACGGCCGCAAGGCUAAAACUCAAAAGAAUUGACGGGGGCUCGCACAAGCGGUGGAGCAUGUGGCUUAAUUCGAUGCAACGCGAAGAACCUUACCGGGGCUUGACAUGGUAGAAGUAGGAACCCGAAAGGGUAACGAACGGUAUCCAGUCCGUGACUAUCACAGGUGUUGCAUGGCUGUCGUCAGCUCGUGUCGUGAGACGUUGGGUUAAGUCCCCUAACGAGCGAAACCCUUGUUUUUAGUUACCAGCGGGUUAUGCCGGGUACUCUAGAAAGACUGCCGUCGUCAAGACGGAGGAAGGUGGGGAUGACGUCAAGUCAUCAUGGCCCUUAUGCCCCGGGCUGCACACGUGCUACAAUGGUCGGUACAAACGGAAGCGAAGCCGAGAGGUGAAGCGAAUCCAAGC
RNAcentral lists this ribosomal RNA (728 nucleotides) under uncultured Planctomycetota bacterium. RNAcentral describes it as "bacterial SSU rRNA". It matches the Rfam family "Bacterial small subunit ribosomal RNA", at positions 558 to 1278 of the family's 1533-position model. Lineage: Bacteria; Pseudomonadati; Planctomycetota. The record is from RNAcentral.